UACGUAGGUGGCAAGCGUUGUCCGGAUUUAUUGGGUUUAAAGGGUGCGUAGGCGGCCUUGUAAGUCAGUGGUGAAAUACUCUAGCUUAACUAGAGGGGUGCCAAUGAUACUGCAGGGCUUGAGUACAGAUGAGGUAGGCGGAAUUGACGGUGUAGCGGUGAAAUGCAUAGAUAUCGUCAAGAACACCGAUAGCGAAGGCAGCUUACUGGGCUGUAACUGACGCUGAGGCACGAAAGUGUGGGGAUCAAACAGG
Molecule: ribosomal RNA, 253 nt
Filed under: uncultured bacterium
Lineage: Bacteria
Description: partial 16S ribosomal RNA
Rfam family: Bacterial small subunit ribosomal RNA
Source: RNAcentral